Molecule: ribosomal RNA, 459 nt
Filed under: uncultured bacterium
Lineage: Bacteria
Description: bacterial SSU rRNA
Rfam family: Bacterial small subunit ribosomal RNA
Source: RNAcentral
GAUGAACGUUGGCGGUGUGCCUAAUACAUGCAAGUCGAACGGAGUUAAUAGCAAUAUUGACUUAGUGGCGAACGGGUGAGUAACGCGUUGGUGAUCUGCCUUGAAGUGUGGAAUAACGCUCCGAAAGGAGCGCUAAUACCGCAUGUGCUCUCAAUUUUUAGAAACUUGAGAGGAAAGGAUUUAUUCGCUUCGAGAGGAGCCUGCGUCCCAUCAGCUGGUUGGUAGGGUAAAGGCCUACCAAGGCAAUGACGGGUAGGGGACCUGAGAGGGUGGCCCCCCACAAUGGAACUGAAACACGGUCCAUACACCUACGGGUGGCCAGCAGUAGGGAAUAUUAGAAAUGGACGAAAGUCUGAUCUAGCAACACCGCGUGUGCGAAGAAGGCCUUGGGUCGUAAAGCACUUUUUGGAAGGAAUAGGAAGGAAUGUACUUCCAGAAUAAGUCUCGGCUAACUACGUG